Molecule: RNA transcript, 1393 nt
Organism: Drosophila willistoni
Lineage: Eukaryota; Metazoa; Arthropoda; Insecta; Diptera; Drosophilidae
Exons: 6
Source: RefSeq, a predicted model, not a curated record
UGCAAAGUUUUUGAGUUAUAAUUUACAAUUUUUCUUUUUUCCAGGUACCAUGUUUCGCUUCCAGGUUUCCGGCGCAUCUAGGAGGAAUCACAGGUAGGUAAUUUGUUGGUAAGUAUGGGUUCAUUUGUUUUUUAGGUGUUGUCGUGACUUGGCCUUUGGGUUGCCAGCCAGCUCAUGCCGGCCACAGGUGAAGAGUAGGCGUUGGUGUGAGGUAAGUAGAAUCCUGCAAGGAGAGAAUGAUUUGCCAGGCAGGAAUCCCGAUAUUCAUCUGUGUGUUUUUAUUUUCAGGUAUGGGCAGGUUGGAGUGAAAGCCCAGUAAGGAGUUGACUUUUCCAGAGCGACCUCGACAGUUCAUGUAAGCUUGUUGGGGCCAGGUGGGACGUCUCAUUGGCACAUUUUGCUGUGUUGUGGCAGUUUGUGUUGUUCAGGUUUUGUGCAUCAGGAUUGGAGAUGUCGGAUCCGAAGGCGCCGACCAGAAGGACUCCGCUGGUGUGAAUUUGAUGAGAAAUUCGACAGCGUCAGUCCUGGAUUGCUCCUGUUUGGAUCCCGCAUCAAUGUCAUCAGCUGACCGAUGACCAAAUUUAGCUGCUGCAUCAUGGCCAUGAGGUCUCGAUAUAUUGGCUGCAUUUGACCAGGAGUAUCUCCUUCUUGUGGCAGUCGUUGUUUUAGGGGAGUGUUUUGUUUUUGUGUUGUGUAGUGGUGUUUAUUGUUGUUGUAGUAGCUUUUACUUUUGUAUCGUGUUGUAUUAUCAUUUUGUUUGUUAUUAUUAGUAUUAGGUUUAAUGUUUAUUAACGUUUUGUUUGUAUUUUCCAGUUUUGUGUUCAUAGCAGAGUUCGAGCAGGAGACGGUCGUGGAGUUUUGGCUUAUUUCGCCAAAAUAUUGCGUCGAGGGCACCCGGGGGAAAGGCCAGUCAGCCUCUCUUUUAAAAGUUGACGCAUACUGGAUUGGGGUUUCUCUUGUGUUGGCAAUCCUUGGUGUCGUGAGUGCCGGCACAUUUCAUACAGGCAACCUGACCAUGGCAGUAGUUCCUUGUAUGUCCGAACGCCUGGCAUUUGUGGCACUGUGCCGGGGUCAGGCGCCUGUGGAGUUUUUCAAUUCUCACUUGGUAAGGGCCUAGAAGUUUUAGAGUGCGUCAUUGCGGCUGAGUGGUCUUCAUUGGAGUAGCAGGUUUAGGUUUUCUAAUUGGGCGAGCAGCGGGCCAACGUCUGGGAUGCGGGAGAUCCAGAUGUCCGGAAUCCUCUCGCUUCGAUGACCGCUGUGAUCAGAAGCAGAACGGCCGUCAUUUACGGAUUGCUCGUCUCUCCUCUCACCUUGGUUGCACGUCGCAAUGGAGCUAGUCGUAGUAUUUAAUUUUAUUUUUGACUCUGUAUUUGUUUUAUUAGUUUUAGUUAUA